Spinacia oleracea (spinach) is the source of this 398-nucleotide long non-coding RNA. RefSeq lists it as uncharacterized. The record is from RefSeq and is a predicted model, not a curated record. The transcript has 3 exons. Lineage: Eukaryota; Viridiplantae; Streptophyta; Magnoliopsida; Caryophyllales; Amaranthaceae.
CCAGUUCAGCUAUACCAAUGCACAAUAGGGGUGUGGGUAUUUAUACCUACCCAAAUGGGUAUCAAAGAAUAGCUACUCCUAUAUCACAACAUUUCCCCACACCACAGAGGCAAAGACCUCCUGCAGCUUUCUAUUCUGAUCAUGGGGGUGAGCAAACCAUCUACUCCUUCCCUGCACAUGACUUCCCAUUGUCACAGACUCAACCAAGUCAAGGACACACAAUAUCAAGCCAAGCAUUGCAGGAUCUUGCAAUGGCUAGAAGAUUAGAAAAAAGACCAUGAGAAAAAUACCUUUUUGUUGAGAAGAGUCAGCUAUGGUGGAGCAACAGAGAAAAAACACAGAGCAGAAGAUGGAGAAGAAAGAAUUUUUUUUUUAAGUGUUUUAUUGUUGUUUUGUUG